This 244-nucleotide long non-coding RNA is filed under the name Vigna radiata. Its description in RNAcentral is "long non-coding RNA (VRAD_LNC015231)". Lineage: Eukaryota; Viridiplantae; Streptophyta; Magnoliopsida; Fabales; Fabaceae. The record is from RNAcentral.
GCUUCCGUGUGGAUGGCCACUAUGUCUCGUCUUUCUUGUGGGGUUUCCAGAUUCAUUCUUAACUAUUCUUCAUUGGAUUCCAGAUUGUCAAUUUUUCUCCUUAUAGUCGGUUCAACCACUUCCACUGGCAACAUCGCAUCUGUACCAUAAGUUAAGUUGAAAGUGGUUUCUCCGGUGGUCUCAUGCGGCCUACACCGGUAACCCCACAACACUUCCAACAGUUCAUCAGCCCCCGCCCCCUUGC